AGCAGCCGCGGUAAUUCCAGCUCCAAUAGCGUAUAUUAAAGUUGUUGCAGUUAAAAAGCUCGUAGUUGAAUUUCGAGACCGGUUUACUGGUCGUGCUUUUGUACGUACUGGUAUUAUUGGUUUCUCCUUUCUGACGAAUCAUAAUGCCAUUAAUUUGGUGUUUUGGGGAAUCAGGACUGUUACUUUGAAAAAAUUAGAGUGUUUAAAGCAGGCUCACGCUUGAAUACAUUAGCAUGGAAUAACGAAAUAGGACGUUUGAUUUUAUUUUGUUGGUUUCUAGGAUCGACGUAAUGAUUAAUAGGGAUAGUUGGGGGCAUUAGUAUUCAAUUGUCAGAGGUGAAAUUCUUGGAUUUAUUGAAGACUAACUACUGCGAAAGCAUUUGCCAAGGAUGUUUUCAUUAAUCAAGAACGAAAGUUAGGGGAUCGAAGACGAUCAGAUACCGUCGUAGUCUUAACCAUAAACUAUGCCGACUAGGGAUCGGAUGAUGUAAUUUUUAAUGACUCAUUCGGCGCCUUACGG
RNAcentral lists this ribosomal RNA (520 nucleotides) under uncultured Glomus. Its description in RNAcentral is "SSU rRNA". It matches the Rfam family "Eukaryotic small subunit ribosomal RNA", at positions 569 to 1093 of the family's 1831-position model. The record is from RNAcentral. Lineage: Eukaryota; Fungi; Glomeromycota; Glomeromycetes; Glomerales; Glomeraceae.